AGGGCCUCUCCACCGGUCCCUGGCUGAGGCCAGCGUGGAGGAAAUGAGGCUGGUGAAGACCCUAUUGACCGCUGGCUUUCUGUCCAUAUUUCAUUUAGCCCUUUCCCCAGAGGAGGAGGCCACAGAGACGAACCAUGUCAAGGCACAUAUGUUGGAGUGAGGUCAAGGUUCACUGUGGAGGAGGAGGAAGAGGAGGAGGAGUAGAGGCAGGACAAACUAGCGGAGGACGAGUAGAAAUGGGAUGGUGAGGAAGACCACAGGGAUAGCCAUCCCUGGAGACACGGAGCGCUGGACGGACAGUGACGUGAUGGCCCGUGCAGUCUGCUGUGUGUGCCGUGGUCGCAGAGUGCUCCCUCCACCUCUCUCACCCAGCGUGCAGUCUGCUGUGUGUGCCGUGGUCGCAGAGUGCUCCCUCCACCUCUCUCGCCCCCCCUCACCCAGCUUCCUCUCACACUCAUCUGGGGCUCCUGAGGCCUCAGACACACUUAAUGGGAUUAUGGUAAUAUCAUUUGGUUCCGCUGACCUGGGACCGGUGCCAGCUUUCUUCCACAUGGUCAGACAAAGGGAAGGAGCUCGACAUGGGACCCAGAGGACCAGCUGGCCCAGCCAGGUCGCCUGGCAGUCCACCCAGCCUGAUGCCCUCGUGGGGUGGCACAAGACAGGGCCAAAGUCCCACUUCCUGAAACACGCAGGAAGUCUCCGAGCGGAAUUUGACCGUUGACCGCGUUUAACCGGUUCAGUUACAGGUCUUAUGAUUCGACUUAUUUUGGCCUGACACACAGGAUGGCCAGCAACACAUAGGUCUGGAGGUAGCCAGCCUGCAGUCCGUGAACUCCCACAUCGCAAGGCAGACAACAAGCAGUCUUUACCUCCAGGGUGUCGUUACCAUGGACAUGGACAACCCCCGACUCACAGAUCCCACCCCCACCCUGGCCGCCCAGUACUGGCCUGUUAUGUGCCCAGGCUUUGAGGACGAGUCCAUCAGCUUGAUUUAGCAGGAGUUCCCUUCCCUGGCUGGCUGUGGGUUUUUUUUUUAGCCAGGGUUUAAUGGAGUGGGCUAUUGAGAAGGAACUCAGAGAGGGGGUCAAUUCAAACUGUACUUGUAAGCAGUCCAAACUGCUAGCGCUGGCUCCAUAGCUAUGGCCUGAAGGAUACAUGUUAACACUGGAGUACAAUGUGGACUGCACUAUGCUGUUGAGUGGGAUGUUAUGUGUGAUAUGAACAAGUCCAAAACAAUGACACACUGUAAGUAAGGUCAUAACUGGAUAAAUGUGUGAGGACAAAGUAGCGGCUGGAAUAAAAAAAAAAUACAAAACCGUU
This is a long non-coding RNA of Osmerus eperlanus (European smelt), 1320 nucleotides long. RefSeq lists it as uncharacterized. The transcript has 2 exons. NCBI's taxonomy places the organism in Eukaryota, Metazoa, Chordata, Actinopteri, Osmeriformes, Osmeridae. The record is from RefSeq and is a predicted model, not a curated record.